Long non-coding RNA from Sinocyclocheilus anshuiensis, 337 nucleotides. RefSeq lists it as uncharacterized. The record is from RefSeq and is a predicted model, not a curated record. The transcript is spliced from 5 exons. NCBI's taxonomy places the organism in Eukaryota, Metazoa, Chordata, Actinopteri, Cypriniformes, Cyprinidae.
AACAUUCAGCAGAUAUACGACUGGCACAAAGAUUUCUUCCUGGGAGAGCUUGAAAAGUGCCUUGAGGUUCCUGACCGGCUGGGCCCUCUCUUCGUCAAACAUGAGCGAAGACUGCACAUGUACAUUGUUUACUGCCAGAACAAACCUAAGUCUGAGCACAUUGUCUCAGAGUAUAUCGACACCUAUUUUGAGGAUCUGAAGCAGCAUCUGGGUCACAGGCUUCAGAUCACUGAUCUGCUCAUUAAACCUGUGCAGAGAAUCAUGAAGUACCAACUGCUGCUUAAGGAUUUCCUUAAAUUUUCCAAAAAAAUCGGAAUUGAUUCAGUAGAAUUGGAGG